GAUGAACGCUGGCGGCGUGCCUAAUACAUGCAAGUCGAGCGAACGGACGAGAAGCUUGCUUCUCUGAUGUUAGCGGCGGACGGGUGAGUAACACGUGGAUAACCUACCUAUAAGACUGGGAUAACUUCGGGAAACCGGAGCUAAUACCGGAUAAUAUUCUGAACCGCAUGGUUCAAAAGUGAAAGACGGUCUUGCUGUCACUUAUAGAUGGAUCCGCGCUGCAUUAGCUAGUUGGUAAGGUAACGGCUUACCAAGGCAACGAUGCAUAGCCGACCUGAGAGAGUGAUCGGCCACACUGGAACUGAGACACGGUCCAGACUCCUACGGGAGGCAGCAGUAUGGAAUCUUCCGCAAUGGGCGGAAGUCUGACGGAGCAACGCCGCGUGAGUGAUGAAGGUCUUGGGAGCGUAAAACUCUGUUAUGAGGGAAGAACAUAUGUGUAAGUAACUGUGCACAUCUUGACGGUAACUAAUCAGAAAGCAACGGCUAACUACGUG
This 497-nucleotide ribosomal RNA is filed under the name uncultured bacterium. Its description in RNAcentral is "partial 16S ribosomal RNA". It matches the Rfam family "Bacterial small subunit ribosomal RNA", at positions 28 to 507 of the family's 1533-position model. The record is from RNAcentral.